CAGGGCUUGACAUGGAGAGGCCGUGUCCAGAGAUGGGCAUUCCCGCAAGGGCCUCUUGCACAGGUGCUGCAUGGCUGUCGUCAGCUCGUGUCGUGAGAUGUUGGGUUAAGUCCCGCAACGAGCGCAACCCUUGUCCUGUGUUGCCAUACCUUAAAAAGUGGAACUCGCAGGAGACCGCCAGGGAUAACCUGGAGGAAGGUGGGGAUGACGUCAAGUCCUCAUGGCCUUUAUGUCCAGGGCUACACACGUGCUACAAUGGACGGUACAAAGGGCUGCCAACCUGCGAAGGGGAGCUAAUCCCUAAAAGUCGUCUCAGUUCGGAUUGCACUCUGCAACUCGAGUGCAUGAAGUCGGAAUCGCUAGUAAUCGCGGAUCAGCAUGCCGCGGUGAAUACGUUCCC
RNAcentral lists this ribosomal RNA (400 nucleotides) under uncultured bacterium. RNAcentral's name for it is "bacterial SSU rRNA". It matches the Rfam family "Bacterial small subunit ribosomal RNA", at positions 975 to 1375 of the family's 1533-position model. The record is from RNAcentral.